CCCAUCUGUCCAGACAGUGACGCCACACACUCAGGCACAGAUAAACUGGGUAAUUUAGUGGUUGAAGAAAGAGGGAAACGGAUGCUGCGCCGAAAACCGUCACAGAGAUUAUUAUUUUUGGAUGCUUUGUCCCCUUCCUUCGGCCUUCGUCAUGCCAUCCCAAAUUCGACAAGCGUGGUUUCCGGCGCCUUCAUAGUGUCUGCGAUUGAUUUAAUAUUCCCGUCUGGAGUUUUAGGAGGUGACUCUUGAUUCACCCCCCUCCUCGCCUCGGCGGUGCUGGGGAGCGUCAGCGAGCCCAAGGUCUCCCUGGCGAGCGUCGCAGGGCUCAGGGGUCCCGGCAGGGCAUCUCGGCUCCCCCGGGGCGUCCAUGGCGGUGCCGGAGAUCCCGAGAGUCCAGGGGCAUGGGGGUGAGGGGCGUUGUGGAGCCGGCAAGACGGGCGUUUGGUGUUGUAUACUGAUAUGAGUGAGUCUUUUCUGGGGUGAAGGAGACUCACCCGUACCAGCACACAGCACCAAGAAAAGGCGAUAUAGGAACAAUACCCGGAUAAGAGGAUAACAUAGAAACAACACCAAGAAAAGGAAAAGGAAGAAAAAGAACAUCAGAAAAAGGAUAAUAUAGAAAAAGAACACCAGAAAAAAAAUCAGGUAGAAACACAGCAAGAAAGGAAAAAAGUAAAAAGUAAAAAAUCUAGCAUGAAGGCGGUUGGCGUUGUAUGUUGGUAUGGGUGAGUCUUUUCUGGGGUGAAGGAGACUCACCCGUACCAGCACACAGCACCAAGAGGGCGAUAUAGAAACAACACCAGGAAAAGGAAAAGGAAGAAAAAGAACACCGGAAAAAGGAAGUUAGAGAAAAGGAACACCAGAAAAUGAUAAGAUAUAAACACAACAUCAAGAAAAGGAUAUAGCAUUAAUUAAGGUGUUUGGUGUUAUGUGUUGGUAUGGGUGAGUCUUUUCUGGGGUGAAGGAGACUCACCCGUACCAGCACACAGCACCAAGAGAAGGCGCUAUAGAAACAACACCAGGAAAAGAAAAAGGAAGAAAAAG
Eriocheir sinensis (Chinese mitten crab) is the source of this 1044-nucleotide long non-coding RNA. RefSeq lists it as uncharacterized. The transcript is spliced from 2 exons. Lineage: Eukaryota; Metazoa; Arthropoda; Malacostraca; Decapoda; Varunidae. The record is from RefSeq and is a predicted model, not a curated record.